GAUGAACGCUGGCGGCGUGCUUAACACAUGCAAGUCGAACGAUGAAGCCCAGCUUGCUGGGUGGAUUAGUGGCGAACGGGUGAGUAACACAUGAGUAACCUGCCCUUAACUCUGUGAUAAGCCUGGGAAACUGGGUCUAAUACCGGAUAGGAGCGUCCACCGCAUGGUGGGUGUUGGAAAGAUUUAUCGGUUUUGGAUGGACUCGCGGCCUAUCAGCUUGUUGGUGAGGGAAUGGCUCACCAAGGCGACGACGGGUAGCCGGCCUGAGAGGGUGACCGGCCACACUGGGACUGAGACACGGCCCAGACUCCUACGGGAGGCAGCAGUGGGGAAUAUUGCACAAUGGGCGCAAGCCUGAUGCAGCGACGCCGCGUGAGGGAUGACGGCCUUCGGGUUGUAAACCUCUUUCAGUAGGGAAGAAGCGAAAGUGACGGUACCUGCAGAAGAAGCACCGGCUAACUACGUG
This 466-nucleotide ribosomal RNA is filed under the name uncultured bacterium. RNAcentral describes it as "partial 16S ribosomal RNA". It matches the Rfam family "Bacterial small subunit ribosomal RNA", at positions 28 to 507 of the family's 1533-position model. The record is from RNAcentral.